AAUAAGUGUUUAAAACAACAAAGUAUAAGCGGAAGUCAAAUAAACAUGAACUACACAACCCCAAAUAUCUGGUGUCACGAGUCUAGAGCCUCUACUACAUAACUGACUGUCUGAUACAACGAAAGUCUAGAAAAAUGCAGAAAUGAACAAGAUAAGAAGGAGAGAAAACAAGGCUGCGGACGCCAUGCAGCUACCUUGAAAUCUCCGGCAACCUCUGGAUCAGUUGAGGACCCUCAUUCUGCCACUCGGGCACCUGGAUCUGCACACAAGGUCCAGGGAGUAACGUGAAUACGCCAACUCAAUAAGUAACUAAAGUAAAUAAGGUCUGAAAGCAGUGACGAGCAGUUAAAAAUCAUAUAACUGAAUAAACAACAGGAUAACAAAUCCAUUUCACAGUUUAAAACCAGUUUCGUCGUAAAAUUAUCAACUUCAGUUUAAACACUUGGAAUCAUAUACUUAGAAAUUUUUCCAACAUAGGCUUAUUUAAAAAGAAGAGUGAAAUCAUUGAAAACAUCCUAACUGGGCCCCUCGGGCAAUGUAUCACUUAGAACAUGGCCUCUCGGGAAGCCUUUCAGUCACGCAUGACUCACUCUCGUCACUCAGUACUCACUCUCAGUACUCAGGCUCAUUAAUAUCUCAUAAUAAUAGAAAUCAUAGUAACCGCUGCGGCGUGCAGCCCGAUCCGUAAUUUAUAGUCGACUACGCUCACUGGGGGUAUACAGACUCCGGAGGGGCUCCUACAGCCCAAUCGUCAUAUCGAUGCAGCGCGUAGCCUGAUCCAAUAUAUAUAUAUAUAUCGAUAUGGCGUGCAACCCGAUCCAUAUAAGUAUUGUUGUGGCCUGCAGCCCGAUCCAUAAUAUAUACACAUAAUAUUGUUGCGGCGUGUAACCCGAUCUAUAAUAUAAAUAUAUAAACCUCACCAUAAGGUCCUCGACCUCCCUCAGUCAUUAACCUUACUCUACUCAGGCAUAAUAGUGGAAAUUAGGGAACUCUGCCCAAACAGUUUUCACAUUUUUGAAAAGUAGAGGGAUAAAAACCAGGUUUUAACAUUAAACAGGUAAAACAUGACUGAGGAUAUGCUUUCAAACAGAUAGAGUGAGCAAAACAGUAAAAAAUGCCCCUAAGAGUCUCAAUAGGUCGGCACAAAGCCCCAAACAUGGCAUACAACCCAUAAUAUAGUAUUAAUCUCCACUAUAUGUGAUAUCAUAAGAUUUCAAAUCAAAUACGCGGCUUAAUAGUUGCUACGGGAUGGACCAAGUCACAAUCCCUACCGGUGCACGCCCACACGCUUGUCACCUAGCAUGUGUGUCACCGUAUUUAUCAAAACAAGUCAAAUACCAGGAUUUUGUAUCCUCAGUUCUAGAUUUACAAUGGUUACUUACCUCAAACCGGUGAAAAUACU
RNAcentral lists this long non-coding RNA (1402 nucleotides) under Nicotiana tabacum (common tobacco). Its description in RNAcentral is "long non-coding RNA (NTAB_LNC006722)". Lineage: Eukaryota; Viridiplantae; Streptophyta; Magnoliopsida; Solanales; Solanaceae. The record is from RNAcentral.